This 352-nucleotide long non-coding RNA is filed under the name Homo sapiens (human). RNAcentral describes it as "non-protein coding lnc-BIRC8-4:1". The record is from RNAcentral. Lineage: Eukaryota; Metazoa; Chordata; Mammalia; Primates; Hominidae.
CAAAGGUUCUCAGCCUCUAGCCCAGCUGGAAUCUCCAGGAAGAGGCAGAGACAGUUUGGUGAAAAAGAGGCAGGGGAGGAGGGGGUGGUGAGAGGAGAAAGCAGCCUUCCAAUUGAAGAUCAGCCCUCAGGUAAAGGUCAGCUUCGGGCAGGCUGGCCUCAGGCGGAGUCAGGGUCAGAGGAAGGAGCAGCAGCAGGGUGGGACUGGGGCAUUCUACAUCUCAUUCAGGUCAAGCAGAGUCUGGUCCAGCAUCCUUUGUGUACAGAGGUGUUCCUCUUUGGUGCAUUUCAGUUUAUCUUCCAACAUCCUUUGUGUACAGAGGUGUUCCUCUUUGGUGCAUUUCAGUUUAUCU